UACAGAGGUCUCAAGCGUUGUUCGGAUUCAUUGGGCGUAAAGGGUGCGUAGGUGGCGGGGUUAGUCAGGUGUGAAAUCUCGGGGCUCAACCCCGAAACUGCACUAGAUACUGCCUUGCUAGAGUACUGGAGAGGAGAUUGGAAUUUACGGUGUAGCAGUGAAAUGCGUAGAUAUCGUAAGGAAGACCAGUGGCGAAGGCGAAUCUCUGGACAGUUACUGACACUGAGGCACGAAGGCCAGGGGAGCAAACGGG
RNAcentral lists this ribosomal RNA (253 nucleotides) under uncultured bacterium. Its description in RNAcentral is "partial 16S ribosomal RNA". It matches the Rfam family "Bacterial small subunit ribosomal RNA", at positions 524 to 776 of the family's 1533-position model. The record is from RNAcentral.